This 489-nucleotide ribosomal RNA is filed under the name uncultured bacterium. RNAcentral's name for it is "partial 16S ribosomal RNA". It matches the Rfam family "Bacterial small subunit ribosomal RNA", at positions 30 to 507 of the family's 1533-position model. The record is from RNAcentral.
AUUGAACGCUGGCGGCAGGCCUAACACAUGCAAGUCGAACGGUAACAGGAAGAAGCUUGCUUCUUUGCUGACGAGUGGCGGACGGGUGAGUAAUGUCUGGGAAACUGCCCGAUGGAGGGGGAUAACUACUGGAAACGGUAGCUAAUACCGCAUAACGUCGCAAGACCAAGAGGGGGACCUUCGGGCCUCUUGCCAUCGGAUGUGCCCAGAUGGGAUUAGCUAGUAGGUGGGGUAACGGCUCACCUAGGCGACGAUCCCUAGCUGGUCUGAGAGGAUGACCAGCCACACUGGAACUGAGACACGGUCCAGACUCCUACGGGAGGCAGCAGUGGGGAAUAUUGCACAAAGGGCGCAAGCCUGAUGCAGCCAUGCCGCGUGUAUGAAGAAGGCCUUCGGGUUGUAAAGUACUUUCAGCGGGGAGGAAGGGAGUAAAGUUAAUACCUUUGCUCAUUGACGUUACCCGCAGAAGAAGCACCGGCUAACUCCGUG